CAAUAGCGUAUAUUAAAGUUGUUGCAGUUAAAAAGCUCGUAGUUGGAUUUCUGGCAGGAGUGACCGGCCGCACACACUGUGUGUGAGUUGCGUCAUUCUGGCCAUCCUUGGUGAGAUCCUGUUUGGCAUUAAGUUGUCGGGCAGGGGAUAACCAUCGUUUACUGUGAAAAAAUUAAGAGUGUUUAAAGCAGGCUUAUGCCGUUGAAUACAUUAGCAUGGAAUAAUAAGAUAGGACUUUGGCGUCUAUUUUGUUGGUUUGCACACCAAGGUAAAUGAUUAAUAGGGAUAGUUGGGGGUAGUUCGUAUUUAAUUGUCAGAGGUGAAAUUCUUGGAUUUAUGAAAGACGAACUUCUGCGAAAGCAUUUACCAAAGAUGUUUUCAUUAAAUCAAGAACGAAAGUUAAGGGGAGUCGAAGACGAUCAGAUACCAU
This 430-nucleotide ribosomal RNA is filed under the name uncultured eukaryote. RNAcentral describes it as "bacterial SSU rRNA". It matches the Rfam family "Eukaryotic small subunit ribosomal RNA", at positions 592 to 1018 of the family's 1831-position model. The record is from RNAcentral.